GGGUUGUGAGGUUAAGCGACUAAGCGUACACGGUGGAUGCCCUGGCAGUCAGAGGCGAUGAAGGGCGUGCUAAUCUGCGAUAAGCGCCGGUAAGGUGAUAUGAACCGUUAUAACCGGCGAUACCCGAAUGGGGAAACCCAGUGUGAUUCGUCACACUAUCAUUAACUGAAUCCAUAGGUUAAUGAGGCGAACCGGGGGAACUGAAACAUCUAAGUACCCCGAGGAAAAGAAAUCAACCGAGAUUCCCCCAGUAGCGGCGAGCGAACGGGGAGGAGCCCAGAGCCUGAAUCAGCAUGUGUGUUAGUGGAAGCGUCUGGAAAGGCGCGCGAUACAGGGUGACAGCCCCGUACACAAAAGCGCAUGUGCUGUGAGCUCGAUGAGUAGGGCGGGACACGUGGUAUCCUGUCUGAAUAUGGGGGGACCAUCCUCCAAGGCUAAAUACUCCUGACUGACCGAUAGUGAACCAGUACCGUGAGGGAAAGGCGAAAAGAACCCCGGCGAGGGGAGUGAAAAAGAACCUGAAACCGUGUACGUACAAGCAGUGGGAGCCCCACCACUAAGCCAGUGGUGAACUCCACAUACGCAUCCUUUGCUGAGGAUACGGUUAACGGAGCGAAAGCGACGUUCAACCGCAAAACAAGCAGAGGGGGCUUAGUGGUGGGGUGACUGCGUACCUUUUGUAUAAUGGGUCAGCGACUUAUAUUCUGUAGCAAGGUUAACCGAAUAGGGGAGCCGUAGGGAAACCGAGUCUUAACCGGGCGUUAAGUUGCAGGGUAUAGACCCGAAACCCGGUGAUCUAGCCAUGGGCAGGUUGAAGGUUGGGUAACACUAACUGGAGGACCGAACCGACUAAUGUUGAAAAAUUAGCGGAUGACCUGUGGCUGGGGGUGAAAGGCCAAUCAAACCGGGAGAUAGCUGGUUCUCCCCGAAAGCUAUUUAGGUAGCGCCUCGUGAAUUCAUCUCCGGGGGUAGAGCACUGUUUCGGCUAGGGGGCCAUCCCGGCUUACCAACCCGAUGCAAACUGCGAAUACCGGAGAAUGUUAUCACGGGAGACACACGGCGGGUGCUAACGUCCGUCGUGAAGAGGGAAACAACCCAGACCGCCAGCUAAGGUCCCAAAGUCAUGGUUAAGUGGGAAACGAUGUGGGAAGGCCCAGACAGCCAGGAUGUUGGCUUAGAAGCAGCCAUCAUUUAAAGAAAGCGUAAUAGCUCACUGGUCGAGUCGGCCUGCGCGGAAGAUGUAACGGGGCUAAACCAUGCACCGAAGCUGCGGCAGCGAACGUAUCACUUAAAGCGAUUCAGCGGGUUACGAUUGACGGAGCGAAGCGACGUCAAAGCGUAUACAAAGUCGAGUCGGUUUAAGGAUACGUUCGUUGGGUAGGGGAGCGUUCUGUAAGCCUGCGAAGGUGGCCUGUGAGGGUUGCUGGAGGUAUCAGAAGUGCGAAUGCUGACAUAAGUAACGAUAAAGCGGGUGAAAAGCCCGCUCGCCGGAAGACCAAGGGUUCCUGUCCAACGUUAAUCGGGGCAGGGUGAGUCGACCCCUAAGGCGAGGCCGAAAGGCGUAGUCGAUGGGAAACGGGUUAAUAUUCCCGUACUUGGUGUUACUGCGAAGGGGGGACGGAGAAGGCUAUGUUGGCCGGGCGACGGUUGUCCCGGUUUAAGCGUGUAGGUGUGUGUUCCAGGUAAAUCCGGUUCACUUUAACACUGAGGCGUGACGACGAGGCACUACGGUGCUGAAGCAACAAAUGCCCUGCUUCCAGGAAAAGCCUCUAAGCAUCAGGUAACACGAAAUCGUACCCCAAACCGACACAGGUGGUCAGGUAGAGAAUACCAAGGCGCUUGAGAGAACUCGGGUGAAGGAACUAGGCAAAAUGGUGCCGUAACUUCGGGAGAAGGCACGCUGACACGUAGGUGAAGUGAUUUACUCAUGGAGCUGAAGUCAGUCGAAGAUACCAGCUGGCUGCAACUGUUUAUUAAAAACACAGCACUGUGCAAACACGAAAGUGGACGUAUACGGUGUGACGCCUGCCCGGUGCCGGAAGGUUAAUUGAUGGGGUCAGCGCAAGCGAAGCUCCUGAUCGAAGCCCCGGUAAACGGCGGCCGUAACUAUAACGGUCCUAAGGUAGCGAAAUUCCUUGUCGGGUAAGUUCCGACCUGCACGAAUGGCGUAAUGAUGGCCAGGCUGUCUCCACCCGAGACUCAGUGAAAUUGAACUCGCUGUGAAGAUGCAGUGUACCCGCGGCAAGACGGAAAGACCCCGUGAACCUUUACUAUAGCUUGACACUGAACAUUGAGCCUUGAUGUGUAGGAUAGGUGGGAGGCUUUGAAGUGUGGACGCCAGUCUGCAUGGAGCCGACCUUGAAAUACCACCCUUUAAUGUUUGAUGUUCUAACGUGGACCCGUGAUCCGGGUUGCGGACAGUGUCUGGUGGGUAGUUUGACUGGGGCGGUCUCCUCCUAAAGAGUAACGGAGGAGCACGAAGGUUGGCUAAUCCUGGUCGGACAUCAGGAGGUUAGUGCAAUGGCAUAAGCCAGCUUGACUGCGAGCGUGACGGCGCGAGCAGGUGCGAAAGCAGGUCAUAGUGAUCCGGUGGUUCUGAAUGGAAGGGCCAUCGCUCAACGGAUAAAAGGUACUCCGGGGAUAACAGGCUGAUACCGCCCAAGAGUUCAUAUCGACGGCGGUGUUUGGCACCUCGAUGUCGGCUCAUCACAUCCUGGGGCUGAAGUAGGUCCCAAGGGUAUGGCUGUUCGCCAUUUAAAGUGGUACGCGAGCUGGGUUUAGAACGUCGUGAGACAGUUCGGUCCCUAUCUGCCGUGGGCGCUGGAGAACUGAGGGGGCUGCUCCUAGUACGAGAGGACCGGAGUGGACGCAUCACUGGUGUUCGGGUUGUCAUGCCAAUGGCACUGCCCGGUAGCUAAAUGCGGAAGAGAUAAGUGCUGAAAGCAUCUAAGCACGAAACUUGCCCCGAGAUGAGUUCUCCCUGAGACUUAGAGUCUCCUGAAGGAACGUUGAAGACGACGACGUUGAUAGGCCGGGUGUGUAAGCGCAGCGAUGCGUUGAGCUAACCGGUACUAAUGAACCGUGAGGCUUAACCUUACAACGCCGAAG
This 3108-nucleotide ribosomal RNA is filed under the name Salmonella enterica subsp. enterica serovar Anatum str. CFSAN003961. RNAcentral describes it as "23S ribosomal RNA". It matches the Rfam family "Bacterial large subunit ribosomal RNA". The record is from RNAcentral. Lineage: Bacteria; Pseudomonadati; Pseudomonadota; Gammaproteobacteria; Enterobacterales; Enterobacteriaceae.